Molecule: ribosomal RNA, 262 nt
Filed under: uncultured bacterium
Lineage: Bacteria
Description: partial small subunit ribosomal RNA
Rfam family: Bacterial small subunit ribosomal RNA
Source: RNAcentral
AGGACGAACGCUGGCGGCGUGCUUAACACAUGCAAGUCGAACGGUGACCUCGGAGCUUGCUCCGGGUGAUCAGUGGCGAACGGGUGAGUAACACGUGGGCAACCUGCCCCCUGGCUCUGGGAUAACUCCGGGAAACCGGAGCUAAUACCGGAUAUGAGACCGAUUGGCAUCAAUACGGUCUGGAAAGUUUUUCGGCCAGGGAUGGGCUCGCGGCCUAUCAGCUUGUUGGUGGGGUAAUGGCCCACCAAGGCGACGACGGGUA